RNAcentral lists this ribosomal RNA (506 nucleotides) under uncultured bacterium. RNAcentral's name for it is "partial 16S ribosomal RNA". It matches the Rfam family "Bacterial small subunit ribosomal RNA", at positions 30 to 523 of the family's 1533-position model. The record is from RNAcentral.
AUUGAACGCUGGCGGCAGGCCUAACACAUGCAAGUCGAGCGGCAGCGGAAAGUAGCUUGCUACUUUGCCGGCGAGCGGCGGACGGGUGAGUAAUGUCUGGGAAACUGCCUGAUGGAGGGGGAUAACUACUGGAAACGGUAGCUAAUACCGCAUAACGUCGCAAGACCAAAGAGGGGGACCUUCGGGCCUCUUGCCAUCAGAUGUGCCCAGAUGGGAUUAGCUAGUAGGUGGGGUAACGGCUCACCUAGGCGACGAUCCCUAGCUGGUCUGAGAGGAUGACCAGCCACACUGGAACUGAGACACGGUCCAGACUCCUACGGGAGGCAGCAGUGGGGAAUAUUGCACAAUGGGCGCAAGCCUGAUGCAGCCAUGCCGCGUGCAUGAAGAAGGCCUUCGGGUUGUAAAGUACUUUCAGCGGGGAGGAAGGCGUUGAGGUUAAUAACCUCAGUGAUUGACGUUACCCGCAGAAGAAGCACCGGCUAACUCUGUGCCAGCCGCCGCCGUAA